CUAGCCCUAAACGAUGUAGACUAGACGUCGGUGGUGUAAUAGCUGUCGGUGUCCAAGCUAACGCGAUAAGUCUACCGCCUGGGGACUACGGCCGCAAGGUUAAAACUCAAAGGAAUUGACGGGUCCCCGCACAAGCAGCGGAGCGUGUGGUUUAAUUCGUUGCUACACGAAGAACCUUACCUGGGUUUGACAUAGCAGUGGUAGGGAAGCGAAAGUGGACCGACCCUUCGGGGAGCUGUUACAGGUGU
RNAcentral lists this ribosomal RNA (248 nucleotides) under uncultured Anaerolineaceae bacterium. RNAcentral's name for it is "partial 16S ribosomal RNA". It matches the Rfam family "Bacterial small subunit ribosomal RNA", at positions 796 to 1041 of the family's 1533-position model. Lineage: Bacteria; Bacillati; Chloroflexota; Anaerolineae; Anaerolineales; Anaerolineaceae. The record is from RNAcentral.